UNGAAGUGCCAAAAGAGGGUUCCACAGC
RNAcentral lists this non-coding RNA (28 nucleotides) under Mus musculus (house mouse). Lineage: Eukaryota; Metazoa; Chordata; Mammalia; Rodentia; Muridae. The record is from RNAcentral.